UACGGAGGGUGCAAGCGUUGUUCGGAAUCACUGGGCGUAAAGGGCGCGUAGGCGGCGCCGCAAGUCGGCUCGUGAAAGCCCGGGGCUCAACCCCGGAGGUGCGGCCGGGACUGCGGUGCUCGAGGUCGGAAGAGGAGGGUGGAAUACCCAGUGUAGAGGUGAAAUUCGUAGAUAUUGGGUGGAACACCGGUGGCGAAAGCGGCUCUCUGGUCCGACUCUGACGCUGAGGCGCGAAAGCGUGGGGAGCAAACAGG
RNAcentral lists this ribosomal RNA (254 nucleotides) under uncultured bacterium. RNAcentral's name for it is "partial 16S ribosomal RNA". It matches the Rfam family "Bacterial small subunit ribosomal RNA", at positions 524 to 776 of the family's 1533-position model. The record is from RNAcentral.